Long non-coding RNA from Austrofundulus limnaeus, 349 nucleotides. RefSeq lists it as uncharacterized. Lineage: Eukaryota; Metazoa; Chordata; Actinopteri; Cyprinodontiformes; Rivulidae. The transcript has 2 exons. The record is from RefSeq and is a predicted model, not a curated record.
UCUGCGCGUGUUUCUAUUGGCUGUCAGAUCUUUAAGGGGCGGGACUGMAGUUAGCGUGUGGUUGACGUACAGAGAAACUUCCAGAAGUGAUUGCGGUGAUCUGAAGAGCAGCUGUAUUGAUUGCGGUGAUUGGAAUAGCAGCUGCGUUAGCCUAAAUCAGUCCAGUGCUGUGUUGAUAGUUGAUAUCAACGAAGUAAAAGAAUUUGAGGUUAAUCUACAAGUGGAUCAGGACAGUGAGAAGAUGUUUCGCCUGGAGGACGUCUUUAUUCGACCUUUGCUGCCAUCUUUGACCUUCAUGGAUGCAGACUGAGACGUUUUCCCUCCACAUCUGACCAAAGCAUCACCUUUA